CGGCCUGUGUGAAAAAGAUAACUCUAUCUAGAACGCAAGCGUUCUUCGCUAGAGUUCCUAUUUUCACUUUGUCCG
Molecule: non-coding RNA, 75 nt
Filed under: Streptococcus suis 89/1591
Lineage: Bacteria; Bacillati; Bacillota; Bacilli; Lactobacillales; Streptococcaceae
Source: RNAcentral